GGGUCACGGUCAUAGUCACGAGGGGAUGGCAGACGCAGACACACUCCCAACCCCCACGCAUGGACCCGCCGGUGGGAGCCACUGACCGGGAGGAAGGGAAAAUUGGUAUGGGAGAGACUUCACCAUCAUUACAAUCCCCCCACUCCCGCCUCCCAGAGUGGCUGUCUAUACCAGGAACUGUACAACACUCACUCGCCAGCCCUCAUCACCUCUAGCUCUGGGUUGAAGCCUAAAGGGUGGAAAGCCUGGCGGGUGCAAAAAUAGAUAUAAAUAUAUUGCACUGGAUGUUAUUCCUGAUUUGCGUAUUCUUUGUUUUAAUGUCAACAUAUCUAAGAUGACAUCCCUUCUUGCAACUGCUGAGCAAAAAUAAAUACGGCAUCAGAUAUGACAUAAAAUUUGAUAUAAUAUUAAAAUAAAUAGGUAAAUUUUUGUUUUAAAGUCAAAAUGUCUAGGACGUCCAUCCCGGCGAGCUCCUGAUGCUUCGCCCCACAACUCCCUCCUAGGUCUCCCCAGGUUCUAACUGCUGUGUCAUAAUCGACUUCUCAAGCUAGGAAACGUCUACUCAAAGAUUCUUCUUAGGUUUACCUAGCCUUGCCUGCAGCGCUGUUCCCAACCUCAAUGUCCUGAUGGCGAGAGUCCUUUCUAUCUUCUUCAGUGAAAUUAAGAAUGACAAAUUAAACGUAAGACGCCCACAACUUUAAAUAGAAUGGGAGGAGCAAAUCCAACUUUCAUCCCUACAUCUUUUCCUACAAGACUAUUGUCCUCUAAAUGUUAUUUUGGAAGAGAAGGAAUUUUAAGAAAUGCUCUUCAGGUAGUUGGAGAGAAGAGAGGAAGAGAGAUGGAAGCCAGGAGGCUAUUAAACCUUAUCAUAUCUCUGGUUAUGCUUUGCCAAAUCACAGUCUUGGGUCAACCCUACCAUCUUGUCUUUGCUCUUAUUCACAUAAGUUGUGAGCUCAUUAUCUUAAUUCACCUCUAUCCAAAUUAAACUGUUUUUUUCCCUUAAAAUGUAUUAGAAGUCAUCCAUCCUGGAGACUUCAUGACUCCACGUUGUCAUUACUUUCUGUC
This 1065-nucleotide long non-coding RNA is filed under the name Sarcophilus harrisii (Tasmanian devil). Its description in RNAcentral is "lncRNA (ENSSHAG00000027050.1)". Lineage: Eukaryota; Metazoa; Chordata; Mammalia; Dasyuromorphia; Dasyuridae. The record is from RNAcentral.